RNAcentral lists this ribosomal RNA (521 nucleotides) under uncultured bacterium. RNAcentral's name for it is "partial 16S ribosomal RNA". It matches the Rfam family "Bacterial small subunit ribosomal RNA", at positions 29 to 523 of the family's 1533-position model. The record is from RNAcentral.
AACAAACGCUGGCGGCGUGCCUAACACAUGCAAGUCGUACGAGAAAUCCUGGGCAACUGGGAGAGUAAAGUGGCGCACGGGUGAGUAACGCGUGGGUAACCUGCCCUUGAAUUGGGGAUAACUCCGCGAAAGCGGGGUUAAUACCGAAUGAUAUUCCGAUUUCUCCGGGGAUUGGAAUCAAAGGUGGCCUCUGCAUGCAAGCUACUGUUCAAGGAUGGGCCCGCGUACCAUUAGCUAGUUGGUAGGGUAACGGCCUACCAAGGCGUCGAUGGUUAGCUGGUCUGAGAGGAUGGCCAGCCACACUGGAACUGAGACACGGUCCAGACUCCUACGGGAGGCAGCAGUGGGGAAUCUUGCGCAAUGGGGGAAACCCUGACGCAGCAACGCCGCGUGGGUGAUGAAGGCCUUCGGGUCGUAAAGCCCUGUCAGGUGGGAAGAACCGUAUCGGUACAAACAGUGCCGAUGCUUGACGGUACCACCGGAGGAAGCACCGGCUAACUCCGUGCCAGCCGCCGCCGUAA